Molecule: transfer RNA, 72 nt
Filed under: Camelus bactrianus (Bactrian camel)
Lineage: Eukaryota; Metazoa; Chordata; Mammalia; Artiodactyla; Camelidae
Also listed under: 2 other names
Rfam family: tRNA
About the family: Transfer RNA (tRNA) molecules are approximately 80 nucleotides in length. Their secondary structure includes four short double-helical elements and three loops (D, anti-codon, and T loops).
Source: Rfam by way of RNAcentral
GAGGGUGUAGCUUAAGGAUAGAGCACAUACUUAGCAUGCACAAGGUCCUGGGUUCAAUCCCCAGUACCUCCA